Molecule: ribosomal RNA, 310 nt
Filed under: uncultured bacterium
Lineage: Bacteria
Description: partial 16S ribosomal RNA
Rfam family: Bacterial small subunit ribosomal RNA
Source: RNAcentral
AAGAGACAGCAGUAGCCACGGUAAUACAGAGGGUGCAAGCGUUAAUCGGAAUUACUGGGCGUAAAGGGCGCGUAGGUGGUUGCGUAAGUGAGAUGUGAAAUCCCCGGGCUUAACCUGGGACGUGCGUCUUAUACUGCGUAACUGGAGUGCAAUAGAGGGUAGUGGAAUUUCCGGUGUAGCGGUGAAAUGCGUAGAUAUCGGAAGGAACACCAGUGGCGAAGGCGGCUACCUGGACUGACACUGACACUGAGGCGCGAAAGCGUGGGGAGCAAACAGGAUUAGAUACCCCCGUAGUCCCUGUCUCUUAUAC